GGGUUUGUAGCUCAGUGAUAGAGCGCUUGCCUCACACACAUGAGGCCCUGGGUUCAAUCCUCAGCACCA
This 69-nucleotide transfer RNA is filed under the name Marmota marmota marmota (Alpine marmot). It matches the Rfam family "tRNA". Rfam says of the family: Transfer RNA (tRNA) molecules are approximately 80 nucleotides in length. Lineage: Eukaryota; Metazoa; Chordata; Mammalia; Rodentia; Sciuridae. RNAcentral also lists the same sequence under 2 other names. The record is from Rfam by way of RNAcentral.